AACGAACGCUGGCGGCAUGCCUAACACAUGCAAGUCGAACGAGACCUUCGGGUCUAGUGGCGCACGGGUGCGUAACGCGUGGGAACCUGCCUUUAGGUUCGGAAUAACUCAGAGAAAUUUGAGCUAAUACCGGAUGAUGUCUUCGGACCAAAGAUUUAUCGCCUUUGGAUGGGCCCGCGUUGGAUUAGCUAGUUGGUGGGGUAAAGGCCUACCAAGGCGACGAUCCAUAGCUGGUCUGAGAGGAUGAUCAGCCACACUGGGACUGAGACACGGCCCAGACUCCUACGGGAGGCAGCAGUGGGGAAUAUUGGAGAAUGGGCGAAAGCCUGAUCAAGCAAUGCCGCGUGAGUGAUGAAGGCCUUAGGGUUGUAAAGCUCUUUUACCCGAGAUGAUAAUGACAGUAUCGGGAGAAUAAGCUCCGGCUAACUCCGUG
RNAcentral lists this ribosomal RNA (433 nucleotides) under uncultured bacterium. Its description in RNAcentral is "partial 16S ribosomal RNA". It matches the Rfam family "Bacterial small subunit ribosomal RNA", at positions 29 to 507 of the family's 1533-position model. The record is from RNAcentral.